GACGAACGCUGGCGGCGUGCCUAAUACAUGCAAGUUUAGCGAUGAAGAUUGGUGCUUGCACCAAUUUGAAGAGCAGCGAACGGGUGAGUAACGCGUGGGGAAUCUGCCUUUGAGCGGGGGACAACAUUUGGAAACGAAUGCUAAUACCGCAUAAUAACUUUAAACAUAAGUUUUAAGUUUGAAAGAUGCAAUUGCAUCACUCAAAGAUGAUCCCGCGUUGUAUUAGCUAGUUGGUGAGGUAAAGGCUCACCAAGGCGAUGAUACAUAGCCGACCUGAGAGGGUGAUCGGCCACAUUGGGACUGAGACACGGCCCAAACUCCUACGGGAGGCAGCAGUAGGGAAUCUUCGGCAAUGGACGAAAGUCUGACCGAGCAACGCCGCGUGAGUGAAGAAGGUUUUCGGAUCGUAAAACUCUGUUGGUAGAGAAGAACGUUGGUGAGAGUGGAAAGCUCAUCAAGUGACGGUAACUACCCAGAAAGGGACGGCUAACUACGUG
RNAcentral lists this ribosomal RNA (497 nucleotides) under uncultured bacterium. RNAcentral describes it as "partial 16S ribosomal RNA". It matches the Rfam family "Bacterial small subunit ribosomal RNA", at positions 28 to 507 of the family's 1533-position model. The record is from RNAcentral.